This 108-nucleotide ribosomal RNA is filed under the name Periophthalmus magnuspinnatus. The record is from RNAcentral. Lineage: Eukaryota; Metazoa; Chordata; Actinopteri; Gobiiformes; Gobiidae.
UUUAGCGUUCCAUCCCUCGUCAAAUCCUGGUCUCGUCUGAUCUCAGAAGCUAAGCAAGGCCGGGCCUGGUUAGUACUGGGAUGCUGCGAAUACCAGGUGCCACAGGGG